UACGGAGGGUGCAAGCGUUGUCCGGAAUCAUUGGGCGUAAAGCGCGCGUAGGCGGCCCGAUCAGUCCGCUGUAAAAGUCCAGGGCUCAACCCUGGAAAGCCGGUGGAUACUGUCGGGCUAGAGUCCGGAAGAGGCGAGUGGAAUUCCUGGUGUAGCGGUGGAAUGCGCGGAUAUCAGGAGGAACACCGAUAGCGAAGGCAGCUCGCUGGGACGGUACUGACGCUGAGACGCGAAAGCGUGGGGAGCGAACAGG
Molecule: ribosomal RNA, 253 nt
Filed under: uncultured bacterium
Lineage: Bacteria
Description: partial 16S ribosomal RNA
Rfam family: Bacterial small subunit ribosomal RNA
Source: RNAcentral